CCCCUAGACGUUCUGGGCUGCACGCGCGCUACAAUAAUACGCACAGCGAGUAUCACCGAGCUCGAAAGGGCAAGGUAAACAAUAGAAAAGGUACUGUAAUGGUUAUAGAUCCUUGUAAUUAUUGAUCUUCAACGAGGAAUUCCUAGUAAGUAUGUGUCAUCAUCACGCACUGAUUACGUCCCUGCCCUUUGUACACACCGCCCGUCGCUCCUACCGAUUGGGUGAGCCGAUGAAACUCUCGGAUGUAGGCUAUUCAUAGCCCGCGGAAGAGAUUUGAAUCGUAGCGCUUAGAGGAAGGAGAAGUCGUAACA
RNAcentral lists this ribosomal RNA (311 nucleotides) under uncultured eukaryote. Its description in RNAcentral is "partial 18S ribosomal RNA". It matches the Rfam family "Eukaryotic small subunit ribosomal RNA", at positions 1470 to 1796 of the family's 1831-position model. The record is from RNAcentral.